RNAcentral lists this ribosomal RNA (406 nucleotides) under uncultured bacterium. Its description in RNAcentral is "partial 16S ribosomal RNA". It matches the Rfam family "Bacterial small subunit ribosomal RNA", at positions 30 to 526 of the family's 1533-position model. The record is from RNAcentral.
AUUGAACGCUGGCGGCAGGCUUAACACAUGCAAGUCGAGCGAGCGGCGGACGGGUGAGUAAUGUCUGGGAAACUGCCUGAUGGAGGGGGAUAACUACUGGAAACGGUAGCUAAUACCGCAUACCAUCAGAUGUGCCCAGAUGGGAUUACUUCGUAGGUGGGGUAAUGGCUCACCUAGGCGACGAUCCCUAGCUGUUCUGAGAGGAUGACCAGCCAAACUGGAACGGAGACACGGUACAGACUCGUACGGGAGGCAGCAGUGGGGAAUAGUGCACAAUGGGCGAAAGCCUGAUGCAGCCAUGCCGCGUGUGUGAAGAAGGCCUUAGGGUUGUAAAGCACUUUCAGCGAGGAGGGGUUAAUCGAAGAAGAAGCACCGGCUAACUCCGUGCCAGCAGCCGCGGUAAUAG